This 219-nucleotide ribosomal RNA is filed under the name uncultured Glomeromycotina. RNAcentral describes it as "partial large subunit ribosomal RNA". Lineage: Eukaryota; Fungi; Glomeromycota. The record is from RNAcentral.
CAGUCAUGCUAAUAGGGGAAUCAACUUGAUGGAUCGUUCCCCCCGGGAGCGAUCUUUCUUGUGCACUUCCUUGUUUGGCAAGUUAGCAUCAAUUUCGGUUGUCAUUAAAAAAAUUGAGGGAAUGUGACUUCUUUCGGGAAGUGCUAUAGACCUUGAUAUAUGUGAUGGUCGGGAUUGAGGAUUGCAGCGGAUGCUUUUGGGCUAGUCACCUACCUUCUG